UGGGGAAUAUUGCACAAUGGGGGAAACCCUGAUGCAGCGACGCCGCGUGGAGGAAGAAGGUCUUCGGAUUGUAAACUCCUGUUGUUGGGGAAGAUAAUGACGGUACCCAACAAGGAAGUGACGGCUAACUACGUGCCAGCAGCCGCGGUAAAACGUAGGUCACAAGCGUUGUCCGGAAUUACUGGGUGUAAAGGGAGCGCAGGCGGGAAGACAAGUUGGAAGUGAAAUCUAUGGGCUCAACCCAUAAACUGCUUUCAAAACUGUUUUUCUUGAGUAGUGCAGAGGUAGGCGGAAUUCCCGGUGUAGCGGUGGAAUGCGUAGAUAUCGGGAGGAACACCAGUGGCGAAGGCGGCCUACUGGGCACCAACUGACGCUGAGGCUCGAAAGUGUGGGUAGCAAACAGGAUUAGAUACCCUGGUAGUCCACACCGUAAACGAUGAUUACUAGGUGUUGGAGGAUUGACCCCUUCAGUGCCGCAGUUAACACAAUAAGUAAUCCACCUGGGGAGUACGACCGCAAGGUUGAAACUCAAAGGAAUUGACGGGGGCCCGCACAAGCAGUGGAGUAUGUGGUUUAAUUCGACGCAACGCGAAGAACCUUACCAAGUCUUGACAUCCUGCGACGAUGCUGGAAACAGUAUUUUCCUUCGGGACGCAGAGACAGGUGGUGCAUGGUUGUCGUCAGCUCGUGUCGUGAGAUGUUGGGUUAAGUCCCGCAACGAGCGCAACCCUUACUGUCAGUUACUACGCAAGAGGACUCUGGCAGGACUGCCGUUGACAAAACGGAGGAAGGUGGGGAUGACGUCAAAUCAUCAUGCCCUUUAUGACUUGGGCUACACACGUACUACAAUGGCGUUAAACAAAGAGAAGCAAGACCGCGAGGUGGAGCAAAACUCAGAAACAACGUCCCAGUUCGGACUGCAGGCUGCAACUCGCCUGCACGAAGUCGGAAUUGCUAGUAAUCGUGGAUCAGCAUGCCACGGUGAAUACGUUCCC
Molecule: ribosomal RNA, 995 nt
Filed under: uncultured bacterium
Lineage: Bacteria
Also listed under: 1 other name
Description: bacterial SSU rRNA
Rfam family: Bacterial small subunit ribosomal RNA
Source: RNAcentral